GGACAGAUGGGAGCUUGCUCCCUGAUGUUAGCGGCGGACGGGUGAGUAACACGUGGGUAACCUGCCUGUAAGACUGGGAUAACUCCGGGAAACCGGGGCUAAUACCGGAUGGUUGUUUGAACCGCAUGGUUCAAACAUAAAAGGUGGCUUCGGCUACCACUUACAGAUGGACCCGCGGCGCAUUAGCUAGUUGGUGAGGUAACGGCUCACCAAGGCAACGAUGCGUAGCCGACCUGAGAGGGUGAUCGGCCACACUGGGACUGAGACACGGCCCAGACUCCUACGGGAGGCAGCAGUAGGGAAUCUUCCGCAAUGGACGAAAGUCUGACGGAGCAACGCCGCGUGAGUGAUGAAGGUUUUCGGAUCGUAAAGCUCUGUUGUUAGGGAAGAACAAGUACCGUUCGAAUAGGGCGGUACCUUGACGGUACCUAACCAGAAAGCCACGGCUAACUACGUGCCAGCAGCCGCGGUAAUACGUAGGUGGCAAGCGUUGUCCGGAAUUAUUGGGCGUAAAGGGCUCGCAGGCGGUUUCUUAAGUCUGAUGUGAAAGCCCCCGGCUCAACCGGGGAGGGUCAUUGGAAACUGGGGAACUUGAGUGCAGAAGAGGAGAGUGGAAUUCCACGUGUAGCGGUGAAAUGCGUAGAGAUGUGGAGGAACACCAGUGGCGAAGGCGACUCUCUGGUCUGUAACUGACGCUGAGGAGCGAAAGCGUGGGGAGCGAACAGGAUUAGAUACCCUGGUAGUCCACGCCGUAAACGAUGAGUGCUAAGUGUUAGGGGGUUUCCGCCCCUUAGUGCUGCAGCUAACGCAUUAAGCACUCCGCCUGGGGAGUACGGUCGCAAGACUGAAACUCAAAGGAAUUGACGGGGGCCCGCACAACCGGUGGAACAUGUGGUUUAAUUCAAAGCAACGCGAAGAACCUUACCAGGUCUUGACAUCCUCUGACAAUCCUAGAGAUAGGACGUCCCCUUCGGGGGCAGAGUGACAGGUGGUGCAUGGUUGUCGUCAGCUCGUGUCGUGAGAUGUUGGGUUAAGUCCCGCAACGAGCGCAACCCUUGAUCUUAGUUGCCAGCAUUCAGUUGGGCACUCUAAGGUGACUGCCGGUGACAAACCGGAGGAAGGUGGGGAUGACGUCAAAUCAUCAUGCCCCUUAUGACCUGGGCUACACACGUGCUACAAUGGACAGAACAAAGGGCAGCGAAACCGCGAGGUUAAGCCAAUCCCACAAAUCUGUUCUCAGUUCGGAUCGCAGUCUGCAACUCGACUGCGUGAAGCUGGAAUCGCUAGUAAUCGCGGAUCAGCAUGCCGCGGUGAAUACGUUCCCGGGCCUUGUACACACCGCCCGUCACACCACGAGAGUUUGUAACACCCGAAGUCGGUGAGGUAACCUUUUAGGAGCCAGCCGCCGAAGGUGGGACAGAUG
This 1423-nucleotide ribosomal RNA is filed under the name Bacillus subtilis. Its description in RNAcentral is "bacterial SSU rRNA". It matches the Rfam family "Bacterial small subunit ribosomal RNA". The record is from RNAcentral. Lineage: Bacteria; Bacillati; Bacillota; Bacilli; Caryophanales; Bacillaceae.